Molecule: ribosomal RNA, 466 nt
Filed under: uncultured bacterium
Lineage: Bacteria
Description: partial 16S ribosomal RNA
Rfam family: Bacterial small subunit ribosomal RNA (bases 20-329)
Source: RNAcentral
GACGAACGCUGGCGGCGUGCUUAACACAUGCAAGUCGAACGGAAAGGCCCUGCUUUUGUGGGGUGCUCGAGUGGCGAACGGGUGAGUAACACGUGAGUAACCUGCCCUUGACUUUGGGAUAACUUCAGGAAACUGGGGCUAAUACCGGAUAGGAGCUCCUGCUGCAUGGUGGGGGUUGGAAAGUUUCGGCGGUUGGGGAUGGACUCGCGGCUUAUCAGCUUGUUGGUGGGGUAGUGGCUUACCAAGGCUUUGACGGGUAGCCGGCCUGAGAGGGUGACCGGAGACAGGGGGAGAGAGAGAGGGGGGAGAGGGCGAGGGGAGGAAGGGGGGGGGAGGAGUGCGCGGGGGGCGGAAGAGUGAUGCAGGUGGGGAGGGUGGGGGAGGGAGGCAUGGGGGGUGUAAAACGAGUUCGCGUGUGAGGCGGGGGGGGGGGCGGUAAGGGGGAAAGAAGAGAAGGCGAACUACG